Molecule: transfer RNA, 72 nt
Organism: Neocallimastix californiae
Lineage: Eukaryota; Fungi; Neocallimastigomycota; Neocallimastigomycetes; Neocallimastigales; Neocallimastigaceae
Rfam family: tRNA
About the family: Transfer RNA (tRNA) molecules are approximately 80 nucleotides in length. Their secondary structure includes four short double-helical elements and three loops (D, anti-codon, and T loops).
Source: Rfam
UCCGCAUUGGUCCAGUGGCUAGGAUUCCACGCUCUCACCGUGGCGGCAGGGGUUCGAUUCCCCUAUGCGGAG